Molecule: ribosomal RNA, 847 nt
Filed under: uncultured bacterium
Lineage: Bacteria
Description: bacterial SSU rRNA
Rfam family: Bacterial small subunit ribosomal RNA
Source: RNAcentral
ACACAUGCAAGUCGAGGGGCAGCAUGGUCUUAGCUUGCUAAGGCUGAUGGCGACCGGCGCACGGGUGAGUAACACGUAUCCAACCUGCCGUCUACUCUUGGACAGCCUUCUGAAAGGAAGAUUAAUACAAGAUGGCAUCAUGAGUCCGCAUGUUCACAUGAUUAAAGGUAUUCCGGUAGACGAUGGGGAUGCGUUCCAUUAGAUAGUAGGCGGGGUAACGGCCCACCUAGUCUUCGAUGGAUAGGGGUUCUGAGAGGAAGGUCCCCCACAUUGGAACUGAGACACGGUCCAAACUCCUACGGGAGGCAGCAGUGAGGAAUAUUGGUCAAUGGGCGAGAGCCUGAACCAGCCAAGUAGCGUGAAGGAUGACUGCCCUAUGGGUUGUAAACUUCUUUUAUAAAGGAAUAAAGUCGGGUAUGUAUACCCGUUUGCAUGUACUUUAUGAAUAAGGAUCGGCUAACUCCGUGCCAGCAGCCGCGGUAAUACGGAGGAUCCGAGCGUUAUCCGGAUUUAUUGGGUUUAAAGGGAGCGUAGAUGGAUGUUUAAGUCAGUUGUGAAAGUUUGCGGCUCAACCGUAAAAUUGCAGUUGAUACUGGAUAUCUUGAGUGCAGUUGAGGCAGGCGGAAUUCGUGGUGUAGCGGUGAAAUGCUUAGAUAUCACGAAGAACUCCGAUUGCGAAGGCAGCCUGCUAAGCUGCAACUGACAUUGAGGCUCGAAAGUGUGGGUAUCAAACAGGAUUAGAUACCCUGGUAGUCCACACGGUAAACGAUGAAUACUCGCUGUUUGCGAUAUACGGCAAGCGGCCAAGCGAAAGCGUUAAGUAUUCCACCUGGGGAGUACGCCGGCA